UACGUAGGUCCCGAGCGUUGUCCGGAUUUAUUGGGUUUAAAGGGUGCGUAGGCGGAUUGAUAAGUUAGAGGUGAAAUGUCCGAGCUCAACUCGGGAACUGCCUCUAAUACUGUUGAUCUAGAGAGUAGAUGCGGUAGGCGGAAUGUAUGGUGUAGCGGUGAAAUGCUUAGAGAUCAUACAGAACACCGAUUGCGAAGGCAGCUUACCAAUCUAUAUCUGACGUUGAGGCACGAAAGCGUGGGGAGCAGACAGG
This 253-nucleotide ribosomal RNA is filed under the name uncultured bacterium. RNAcentral describes it as "partial 16S ribosomal RNA". It matches the Rfam family "Bacterial small subunit ribosomal RNA", at positions 524 to 776 of the family's 1533-position model. The record is from RNAcentral.